GCUAGGUUGGGGCAGACCUACAAGACUGGGCAAACAAAUAGGCAGAGAGAGAGAGAGCGAGCGCGAAGGAUGAAGAUUCGGCGGUUUCUUUGUCUGCGCAGCCUCUUCUGCGAUAAUAUCUCUGGCCGCGUUCGCCGAAGGGCAAGAAGGGAGAGCGCGAGCGCCUUGGCUACCCAAAGUGGGAUUUGAGCGGGAAUUCUGAGAGUGGCGACUUCGGAACUGGGUGCUGCUGGAGACGGAGCCCUCGCUGCCACUUCCGACUUUAAGCCUUCCUAGGAAAGUCCUCGGUGGCUGUUUUUAAUUGCUCUCUGAAGACCCGGCGCCCCCUCCCCACCCCCACUGCCGUCCCACUCUCGCUCGCACUCUCUCUCUCUCUCUCCUUCGCUCACACACGUUUGGCAGGCACAGCCGGCGGCGGCAGCACCACCACCACCACCAGAAGUCGCUCACCCACGCUUUGCUCUAAACUCGGAUUUGCCCUCCGGAGUGAGCUGCAGUUCUGGGCUGUUGCUGGAGUGGGACGGGAGUUGCGGCUUAAAACCGACAACCAAAACCUGUCAGGGGCAGGCUAUAGUGCUCUUUCACCCAGGAAUAAAACUAUGUGAGCAUUGCUGCGGUGGUUGCUUAAGUCAGAGAAAACGUGAAGGGAGUACAUAACCCUGGUGGAUGCAGCAGAACCGUUCGCUGUUUAUGGAAAUGCAGGAUCUAGCCAGCCCGCAUAGCCGUCUAAGUGGUAGUAGCGAAUCCCCUAAUGGUCCAAAACUUGAUAAUUCUCACAUAAAUAAUAAUUCCAUGACACCCAAUGGCACAGAAGGUGACAUGACUCUGCUCAGCACUGCAGACUGGUUGUUAAAUACUAAUACACAGACCACUGCAGUUAAAACAGAGCCAAUGAGCAGCAGUGAAAUUGCUACUACAACAGCAGACGGGUCUUUAGACAGUUUUUCAGGAUCAGCAAUUGGAAGCAGUGGCUUCAGCCCAAGACAAACUCACCAGUUUUCCCCGCCACAGAUAUACCCUUCCAACAGACCAUACCCACAUAUUCUUCCUACUCCUUCUUCACAAACUAUGGCUGCAUAUGGGCAGACGCAGUUUACCACAGGGAUGCAACAAGCCACAGCUUAUUCAACAUACCCACAACCUGGUCAGCCCUAUGGAAUCCCGUCAUAUGCUACCUGUCGCUCCCAAAAAUGUGUCCCUCAGACUCUUCCAACCCUCAGAGAUGUAUUUUCAGGACAUUCAGGUGCAUUGUGGGCAGGCAUCAAGACAGAAGGUGGAUUGUCACAAACACAGACACCUGGACAGACAGGCUUUCUGAGCUAUGGUGCAAGCUUUAGUGCUCCCCAGCCAGGACAGGCUCCAUACAGUUACCAGAUGCAAGGGAGCAGUUUCACAACAUCAUCUGGAAUAUAUGCUGGAAAUAAUUCACUUACAAAUUCUACUGGAUUUAAUAGUUCACAGCAGGAAUAUCCAUCUUACCCCAACUUUGGCCAGGGUCAAUAUGCACAGUAUUAUAACAGUUCUCCAUAUCCUUCACAUUAUAUGACAAGCAGCAACACCAGUCCAACAACCCCUUCCUCCAAUGCAACAUACCAGCUUCAAGAACCACCAUCUGGCAUCACAAGUCAAGCUGUUACAGAUCCUACAGCAGCAGAGUAUAGUACAAUCCACAGCCCAACAACACCCAUUAAAGAUUCAGAGGCAGACAGGUUGCGUCGCAGCUCAGAUGGCAAAUCACGUGGCCGAGGCAGAAGGAAUAAUAAUCCUUCACCACCACCUGACUCUGACCUAGAGAGAGUAUUCAUUUGGGAUUUGGAUGAGACAAUCAUCAUUUUCCAUUCCUUGCUUACAGGAUCCUAUGCUAACAGAUAUGGGAGAGAUCCACCAACUUCUGUUUCUCUUGGACUGAGAAUGGAGGAGAUGAUUUUCAACUUGGCAGACACACACCUAUUCUUUAAUGAUCUCGAAGAGUGUGACCAAGUUCAUAUUGAUGAUGUUUCAUCUGAUGACAAUGGCCAAGACUUAAGCACCUAUAACUUCGGAACAGAUGGCUUUCCUGCAGCAGCUACUAGUGCUAACUUAUGCCUAGCAACGGGUGUGCGUGGAGGAGUGGACUGGAUGAGGAAACUGGCUUUCCGCUACAGACGAGUAAAAGAAAUCUACAACACCUACAAAAAUAAUGUUGGAGGUCUUCUUGGUCCAGCAAAGAGAGAAGCUUGGUUGCAGCUCAGAGCAGAAAUUGAAGCCCUUACAGAUUCUUGGUUAACACUUGCACUGAAAGCACUCACGCUAAUUCAUUCUAGGACAAAUUGUGUGAAUAUUCUAGUGACAACUACUCAGCUUAUUCCAGCUCUUGCAAAAGUCCUGCUCUAUGGCUUAGGUGUGGUAUUUCCAAUAGAAAAUAUUUACAGUGCAACUAAAAUAGGAAAAGAAAGCUGUUUUGAGCGCAUCAUUCAAAGAUUUGGAAGAAAAGUAGUAUAUGUUGUUAUAGGAGAUGGUGUGGAAGAAGAACAAGGAGCAAAGAAGGUGUCCUGCAAACAUGCUUAUGAUCUAAGUUCAGAUUUUCUCUUUAUUUAACAAGCGGAAUGAAACUUAAACAUUCAUCUUUAAAAUAUUCCAUAUGGGGAAAUUGAUAUAAGCAUGCCAUGCCAUUCUGGAGGAUCACAAGCCACUCUGACCUUAUGGCUCUUCAUCAUGCCUUGGAACUAGAGUACUUGUAGUAGCACUUUGUAACCCCAGAACUUUCCUCAUACCCAUGGACAGUGUGCCUGUGUCUUGUGUCAGCGCUGAGCUGCAGAACUUUGUGAUUUCAUCAUGUUGACGUACAGCUGCAACUGGUCUUAACCUUUGCCCUUCCAGUAAAUGGAGGAGCAUGUCUCUUUCUUCAGAAACAGCUGUUGAUUCUAGUACUGUGAAUCCAAUGAAAACAAGCCAUGAUGAGAAUGUUUUAACAAUGUGUCCUUGCCACAUUUGCUACAUUGAAAGGUUCGUACCUGUGAAGAGACUGGAAAGUACUUUAUGUUUCUGGAAUCUUCAGUGUGGCACACACACCUUAAGUAUGGCAAACUUGAUUGCACAACAAAGACUAAACUUUUUUUAAAAAAAGAAUCCCAUGGAUACACUUCUUGAAAAGGUUUACUAUUGUUUUUUGUUUUGUUUUUUUAGUUUCUCAUACCCAGGGUACCCUGUAAAUCUUUACUUAUUUAUGAACAGAUUCUGUUUUGUCAUCAUCACCUAAAUGUGGAUAUGUAUGAUAAAUGAAAGGCUAUAACAAGUCUUUGCCUUCUGAUAAUAAAAUGAUUUUGAUUUUAGCACAUUGCAAUGUAGUUUAAAGUAUGUCUAAUUUAAGGAAAUAGGUACAUCACUGAGACAAUCGUGUACAGGAAGAAUGUUUUUGUGUAAAUUUGUAAUGAAUGGAUGAUGUUUUACAUAUUGUUUAGGCAAAUACUAUUAAAAGGUAGUAAUGGCUUUUGGGUGAAGUAUGAGGCAGUGUGUGCACAACUAUUGUGCUGUGCCUUAUGAAAGUAUUCUGUAUAAAUAUGUAGAUAAUGGAAUUUUUUUUUAGAUCAAUUUGUCAAGACCAAAAGCAUGGAUGUCAAGUGUCAAUAAGAAAUUGCUUUUUAUUAUAUUUGCUCUUUUCCCUCAAGUUUUCUUUGGCAAAUCUAUUCUAUCAAAAUACCAGUUAUACUUUUUCUCCUUGCACCCUUUUCCAAAUGGGCUGGCUUCUCAUAUACAUUUUGUACUUGAGUACAAAUGUCCAAGUUCAAGAUUGACAUAUCUCAUGUCAAUUGAGAAUGGGAUGCCUAUAUAAAUUGCCAUUUUUCUUGGUGAAAUACAUGGAAAGAGAAAGUUGGUGUUUUGCUGCUUCUAUGUACUUUGCCAAGAAAAGCAGCAAUUUAAAUAUAGAUGUGCAUUCUCAAGUGAUGUGAAAUAUGUGUAUUUUGUAUGUGGAUAUAUAUACUUGAGUAUAGAUGGUAUAGUAAGAAUUGGCCCUUAGGAUGCACACUUGCAAAUUAAGAACAGUGUUCUGUUCUCUUAUUUCAUUUUCUUUACUGAUAGAUAUCAAACACAAGGAGAAGUGAAUAAUUAAUCUAUUCAUUUCCCCCAAAAAAGGUAGAAGGUUGGUAAAAUAUUUUAUGUAAUGUAUCUUGCCUUUUAGAAUAAUAAAAUAAAGCAUCCAUGCACUUGCAAAAUAAAAAUGAAAUCAACCACCUUAUCUUAAAGUAGAAAAGAAGGGCUUUUCUGAGAUCCAGUUAGCAAGGAACUGACUGAAAUUAUUCUUGCUUGAUGGGUUCCUCACCUCCAGAAAAAAAUUACUAUAUUUACCUGAAUCAAAGACUAGAUUUUUUCCUAUUUGGUGUUAGCAAUCAGAGAGUCAUCUUAAAUUCAGAGUCCUCUUCCUUUUGAGGUAUAGUUAUAACCUUUGAGGUAUAAAUAUAGGUAUAACCUGUGUUUUGCCCCUAUUUUUUAGGGGGCUUGUCUUAAAUUUGGAGUUGUGUUCAGGUAAAUAUGGUACUUUGUGUUUUUCUCUAACUCCACAAAUUGUUAGUGUUUUAAAGCUUUUAUUUCUUGCUAAAAUCAUAAAACCCUUAAAAUCUCACCUUGAAGUCUGCUGAAAUAGGGCAAAGUAGAUUGGGAAUUGUAGUUUUGUUGAGAGCAGGUCUGAAGAAAACCAGAUGUAACCCUGAGAUAACCCAGAAAGGGCUGAACAUGAUGGUAUGUGUAGUUUUGUGUUAAUUGCUGAAGCAGACCAUAGUCCACAAUUCUCUCCUACCUAUACUAUAAGAGCACAAUGAAAACUUUCAUUUUUAGUAAAUACUGAAAUCAGUACAGCUCAAAACAGAAAAGCCAUGUCACACCAGUUAAUUCAGACCUUCAGAUUUUGGGAUUAUAUGUGUGCAUUUUGAUUUGACAUUCUCCCCCCCCCCCCCCUUUUAGACCCACAAUCUGGUAUGAAAUUAGUAGUGGCAAAUAUCUGGUGCAUUGUUAAUGUUAACCAUCUUAAAACAGUUAUCAGAUUUUUCUGUUGGUCCAUUCCCGGCAAUGGGAAUACUUGCCAAUUUUGUUUAGACUGCAUUAAUGUUUGUAACUAGGCCUAUACAGCAUUUGAACUGUGCCUGUCUUCUGUAAAACAUGAAGACCAUGCACAGCCGAGGCAGUUUUACUUUGGGCUAAAGUAGAUGAAUUGAGGGCAGUGGGAGGGGGGUCCCCAAUUAUUCUUGAAAGUGCACAUUCUCACCUCAUCCCACCCCUUCCCAGAGCAAAUUCCCCCCUCCUGCCUUGAUUAAUGUGGCUAGAGCUAACCAGGUACCCCACAUUCAGAAUACUUAGUUGUGGCUAAGAUGGGAGGUGGUGAUUUGCACAAGGGAGUGGGAUAAACCUGAUUGUGAUCUUACCAUCAUGGUUAGAGAGGCCCUUUGUUACAACUACACUGGGUCUUUGUGUUUAAAUUCUUAGCCUGAACCUUGCUACUUUGUUUUCAUUGGUAUCUUCAUUAGGAAUAAACCUCAGUUGUUCUAGUUCUUGUUUCAUAUUUUUGUGUUUUUUUUUAAUUCACCAGCUUUUAAGCCGCCUACUAGCAAAGCAACAACAGUAGCUGUGAGGCAACAUCCUCUUUUUGUGGAGGAUGUAUAUUGCUGCUACAGUUUAUAAUUAUUUUAUGGAUUGUUUCAAAUUGUUUGAUUAUAAAUAUGGCCCCCAUCUUCAAUAACUUUAUGUACCAAAAGCAAUCCAAUUCAGGGACUACUCACAGUCUGUAAAGUUAAACACAUACAUAAGUCCUUUAAUGACGGGCUAUAAAACAUCUGUUUUCCUUGGGUUUUUUUGUUGUUUUUGCUUCAAGCAAAAUAGAGAUGGACAAUUUUUUCCCAUUUUGUUUCAAAUUUUUGUAGUCAAUAUGCUGACUAAAAAAAGUUUGUCUGGGCCUUAUUGUACAAAAAGUGUGUUGUGUCCACAAUUGUGUACAGAUAUUUUCCUCCAUUUUGUGUUUAAAUUAAUAAAAUUGAUUUGUGACAUAAGGA
RNA transcript from Hemicordylus capensis (graceful crag lizard), 6020 nucleotides. It is a transcript of the gene named EYA transcriptional coactivator and phosphatase 1, with no coding region annotated. The transcript is spliced from 20 exons. The record is from RefSeq and is a predicted model, not a curated record. NCBI's taxonomy places the organism in Eukaryota, Metazoa, Chordata, Lepidosauria, Squamata, Cordylidae.